UGGGGAAUAUUGCACAAUGGGCGAAAGCCUGAUGCAGCAACGCCGCGUGAGGGAUGACGGCCUUCGGGUUGUAAACCUCUUUUAGUAGGGAAGAAGCGAAAGUGACGGUACCUGCAGAAAAAGCACCGGCUAACUACGUGCCAGCAGCCGCGGUAAUACGUAGGGUGCAAGCGUUGUCCGGAAUUAUUGGGCGUAAAGAGCUCGUAGGCGGUUUGUCGCGUCUGCUGUGAAAUCCCGAGGCUCAACCUCGGGCUUGCAGUGGGUACGGGCAGACUAGAGUGCGGUAGGGGAGAUUGGAAUUCCUGGUGUAGCGGUGGAAUGCGCAGAUAUCAGGAGGAACACCGAUGGCGAAGGCAGAUCUCUGGGCCGUAACUGACGCUGAGGAGCGAAAGCGUGGGGAGCGAACA
This 407-nucleotide ribosomal RNA is filed under the name uncultured Curtobacterium sp. RNAcentral describes it as "bacterial SSU rRNA". It matches the Rfam family "Bacterial small subunit ribosomal RNA", at positions 355 to 774 of the family's 1533-position model. The record is from RNAcentral. Lineage: Bacteria; Bacillati; Actinomycetota; Actinomycetes; Micrococcales; Microbacteriaceae.